Molecule: non-coding RNA, 224 nt
Organism: Pelobates cultripes (western spadefoot toad)
Lineage: Eukaryota; Metazoa; Chordata; Amphibia; Anura; Pelobatidae
Source: the annotation of a GenBank genome assembly
AAAGGCAGCAGGGAGACAUGGGGACACUGGGAGACGUGGGGACACAGACACUUGGGGACACUGUGAAACAUGGGGACUCUGAGUCACAUGGGGAUGCUGUGAGACAUAGACACAUUGGGACACGGAGACACUAGGGACACAGUGUCUCCAUGUCUCCCAGUCAGUGUCCCUAGUGUCUCAGUGUCCCCAAGUCUCCCAGUGUCUGUGUCCCCAUGUCUCCCAGU